This is a non-coding RNA of Cinara cedri, 292 nucleotides long. The record is from the annotation of a GenBank genome assembly. Lineage: Eukaryota; Metazoa; Arthropoda; Insecta; Hemiptera; Aphididae.
AUUAUCCUAAUCACUAAUCAAAAUCAACAGAAUACCAAGUUAUAUGUCAACAAAAAAUUGGUUGGAAGCUUAGAUCAAUUAUACUAGUAUAUGAUCUAAGAUCGGAAGAAACUAUCGUCUAGCAGAUUAAAAACUUGAUAAAUGAAAUUUGUUAUAAAAGACUUUUCAGAGAAUAACAAAAUAUAUAUGUUCCUAUUCCUUUAAAAAAUAAUGGAAUCAAUUAAUUCACUCGUUCCUCUAAAAAGGAAUUGUUCCUUAUACUAGGUGUAUAUGUGCAUUGUGCAUAUUCUAG